RNAcentral lists this ribosomal RNA (503 nucleotides) under uncultured bacterium. RNAcentral's name for it is "partial 16S ribosomal RNA". It matches the Rfam family "Bacterial small subunit ribosomal RNA", at positions 30 to 523 of the family's 1533-position model. The record is from RNAcentral.
ACUGAACGCUGGUGGCAGGCUUAACACAUGCAAGUCGAGCGGGGUGAUGGUGCUUGCACUAUCACUUAGCGGCGGACGGGUGAGUAAUGCUUAGGAAUCUGCCUAUUAGUGGGGGACAACAUCUCGAAAGGGAUGCUAAUACCGCAUACGUCCUACGGGAGAAAGCAGGGGAUCACUUGUGACCUUGCGCUAAUAGAUGAGCCUAAGUCGGAUUAGCUAGUUGGUGGGGUAAAGGCCUACCAAGGCGACGAUCUGUAGCGGGUCUGAGAGGAUGAUCCGCCACACUGGGACUGAGACACGGCCCAGACUCCUACGGGAGGCAGCAGUGGGGAAUAUUGGACAAUGGGGGGAACCCUGAUCCAGCCAUGCCGCGUGUGUGAAGAAGGCCUUAUGGUUGUAAAGCACUUUAAGCGAGGAGGAGGCUCUUUUGGUUAAUACCCAAGAUGAGUGGACGUUACUCGCAGAAUAAGCACCGGCUAACUCUGUGCCAGCCGCCGCAGUAA